CGGGCCUUUCUGAGGGCCACUGGGGGCGUCUUGGGGGCAGGGCUCCAUUCUGCUGCUUGCGAUGAAGCCCAGGCUACGGUAAGAGCACAGUCUGCCUGUCCUUACCACUGGCUCUAAAUAAGAUGGGAUCCAACUGCUGGAGCUGGGAUGGGCCUCUUUUUCUGGAUGGGGAGACAGAGGUCCAGAGAGAGGAGGGAAAGGAAGUAUGUCUGGGAGCUGACUGCCACAUCCCAGGCACUGUUGGAGCCUUUCACGUCCUUUGUCUCAUUGGAUCCUUACCACUACCCUGCAAGUUAAAGAAAGGACUCCUCUAAGGGAUCACGCCUGGGCUAGAGGGGUUCCUGAUCAAAACCUGAGCUCUCCACUUCCACACUGACGGAGGCAAGAGGAGCCACUGGGCGCCGAGCACUCUUCCUGCAGGCGACGCUGUGCUGGGCUUCUGUGCAAUGACUUCUACCUCUGCGCAGCCACCUGAGGGGACCGAGAGACCCAUCCUGCUGAAGGGGAAGCUGAGUGCUCCGAGAACACAGGACAAGUGACCGACCAGCCUGAGAAGUGGAGAAAGCUUCCCCAAGAAGUGACAUCUGAGCUAGGAGCUGAAGAAGAAGCGGAACCUCCCCUCCCCCAAGAAGCUGCACCUUAGCCACAAGAAAGGUGCUCAGAGUAUAGCAGGCAGCUGCCGAGCCUCGGACAUUUGCAACUUCCAGGAUUCUGCCUUUGGAGAGCCACUGGAGAGCUUCAAAGCUAAUCAUGUCAGCAUUAUUUACCAUAGCAAAAAAAAAAAAAGCUAGAAGUCACAUCAAUGCCAAAUAAGGAGAAGAUUCA
Prionailurus viverrinus (fishing cat) is the source of this 825-nucleotide long non-coding RNA. RefSeq lists it as uncharacterized. The transcript has 4 exons. Lineage: Eukaryota; Metazoa; Chordata; Mammalia; Carnivora; Felidae. The record is from RefSeq and is a predicted model, not a curated record.